RNAcentral lists this ribosomal RNA (310 nucleotides) under uncultured bacterium. RNAcentral's name for it is "partial 16S ribosomal RNA". It matches the Rfam family "Bacterial small subunit ribosomal RNA", at positions 503 to 807 of the family's 1533-position model. The record is from RNAcentral.
AAGAGACAGCAGCCGCCGCGGUAAUACAGAGGGUGCGAGCGUUAAUCGGAUUUACUGGGCGUAAAGCGUGCGUAGGCGGCUUUUUAAGUCGGAUGUGAAAUCCCUGAGCUUAACUUAGGAAUUGCAUUCGAUACUGGGAAGCUAGAGUAUGGGAGAGGAUGGUAGAAUUCCAGGUGUAGCGGUGAAAUGCGUAGAGAUCUGGAGGAAUACCGAUGGCGAAGGCAGCCAUCUGGCCUAAUACUGACGCUGAGGUACGAAAGCAUGGGGAGCAAACAGGAUUAGAUACCCGAGUAGUCCCUGUCUCUUAUAC